Molecule: long non-coding RNA, 1279 nt
Organism: Tribolium castaneum (red flour beetle)
Lineage: Eukaryota; Metazoa; Arthropoda; Insecta; Coleoptera; Tenebrionidae
Exons: 5
Source: RefSeq, a predicted model, not a curated record
GUUUUCUGUUUACGAAUAGUACUUAAUUUCAUUUUGUGAAGAGGUCGCUGAUAUUCCAUGGUCUUGAAGUGUCUUGAUGGUACUCUGGGUUCGGAAAAAAGGGAAAAAAGAUUUUUGAGAACUCUCCGCCGUUAUAUUCAAGUGUCGUCGAAUUGUGAAAAUUAAUAUUUUUCCUUGUCCUUCCUGUUUUCAUCUUAUUUCCUUCGUUUCCUUCUUUGGAAGAAGCAUCUUCGCGUGUAAUUUCAUCGCAGGAGCAAAAGAGCUUUUGUUUCAGGCGUUCAAAACAGCUUUUAGCGUUAUUUUUUGUCCCUGCAAGCAUUCCUUCAACUUUAAGAAGUAUAGACGAGUGUGCAGAUAAGUAUUAUUCUGUUGUAAAGUUAACAAAUAAAAGCAAAAACUUCUAGGAGAAUAGUCCAAGUGCAGACGAUCCGACAAUAGAGCACGAGUGAAGCCAUGCAAGGGACCGUUUAUUUAAGAAGAUAGGCAAUUUAUCGAAAAAAUAUUUUCACGUACUUUUUCACUGAAUAUCGCUAAAUCACGUAAAUUUCAUUAGGUACUAUAUUAAGCAAAUUACAUGGAAAAUUUAAGCGCAAAAGAUGAGUACGCCACUGGUAACUACUACUAGAAGAACUGAUACGGUCCUGUGUUACGGAAGUGCAGAUGAUAUUGCUUCAAGGGGUGCGUCAAGGCUUUCAAGACAAAAAAUAGGCUUUAAACGUCGUCUCCUAGAGGCUGUAGAAAAAAUUCGUCAACAAGUAUCUGGCAGUUAACUCCUCAGCUUCAGAUUUUUCAGAGCAAGGAUUGUAUUUUUGCAACAAGUCGAAAGGCAAGUCGCCUAUUUAUUAGAAAUCCGGGCGGAUCUUGUGGACAGCUUUUGUAAUUUUUUAUUGACAUUUGCACAAUUCGGACUUGGCGACAAGCCCAAUUCGGACGCAUUGUUAAUUGGCAACAAAGAUCAAAGGUUGGCAGCUCUUGAGGAAUUCUCGUGACCGGAUGGCUCCCCAGAAAAUCGCCCCUAGAAGGAAAACAGCUGGGAUUAUGACUUGUACCCGGAACGACGUGAGCCCUUGGUAUAAGCCAGACAAUAUCUCCAGCUUCGGCUCGGUGGACUGCUACUGCUAGACAAAAAAGGCUUAGGAAGAGUACCAGGUUAUGGGAAUGCCGGCACGAAAAGAGAUGUUUUAUUUAAUGAUGUCAAAGAAACGUAAAUUGUUAUUUCAAAGUUAAAAAUUAGAAUUUUCUGUAAAAAAUAAUCAAAAAUAAACUUAAAUGCGCCAUC